UACGUAGGUGACAAGCGUUGUCCGGAUUGACUGGGCGUAAAGGGCGUGUAGGCGGUCGGUCAAGUCUGGUGUGAAAGCCCCGGGGCUCAGCUCCGGAAGUGCAUCGGAAACUAGCUGGCUGGAGCGCGAUAGAGGAGGGCGGAAUUCCUGGUGUAGCGGUGAAAUGCGUAGAUAAUCAGGAGGAACACCCGGCGGCGAAGGCGGCCCUCUGGAUCGUUGCUGACGCUGAGACGCGAAAGCGUGGGGAGCAAACAGG
Molecule: ribosomal RNA, 256 nt
Filed under: uncultured bacterium
Lineage: Bacteria
Description: partial 16S ribosomal RNA
Rfam family: Bacterial small subunit ribosomal RNA
Source: RNAcentral